CUCACAAUUUUUGCAAGCUCGAUAAACUCUCGUAGCGCUCGAUCAGUCACAAUUAAAAAAAAAAGAAAAAUUAUUGUAGUGCUGUCGUUGCUUGGUUGGAUACAUACACACUAUAUAUCUCUUUCUUGUUUUGUCAUAGAAGGUAGUAGUACUAUACUCUUAAAAACAAAUCUCCAUGCAUGAACUGGUUGUGUAGUAUUUUAUUAGUCAAGCAUUAUUACACAGUUACUUUGGCCCCUCU
RNAcentral lists this long non-coding RNA (241 nucleotides) under Sorghum bicolor (sorghum). Its description in RNAcentral is "long non-coding RNA (SBIC_LNC016825)". The record is from RNAcentral. Lineage: Eukaryota; Viridiplantae; Streptophyta; Magnoliopsida; Poales; Poaceae.